CCAGUUGGUCGGAGAACCGCGCUUUAUGUAAGUAAGGUGAGGAAAGUCCGGACUUCACGGAAAUAGGAUGCCGGUUAAUGGCCGGGCAGGGUGACCUGACGGAAAGUGCAACAGAAAACAAACCGCCGAUGGCUCGCAAGAGUACAGGUAAGGGCGAAACGGUGCGGUAAGAGCGCACCACUCGUUCAGUAAUGGACAGGUAUGGCAAACCCCAUCCGAAGCAAGACCAAAUAGGGGUUACACAUGGCGCAUUUCCGCGUCGUAGCCCGGGUAGGUUGCUAGAGAUAUGCGGUAACGUAUAUCGGAGAGGAAUGGUUCUCGUUCCUGUGCGAACAGGGAUACAGAAUCCGGCUUAUAGACCGACUGGCAUU
RNAcentral lists this RNase P RNA (371 nucleotides) under Alphaproteobacteria bacterium RIFCSPHIGHO2_02_FULL_46_13. Its description in RNAcentral is "RNase P RNA component class A". It matches the Rfam family "Bacterial RNase P class A". From Rfam's summary of the family: Ribonuclease P (RNase P) is a ubiquitous endoribonuclease, found in archaea, bacteria and eukarya as well as chloroplasts and mitochondria. Lineage: Bacteria; Pseudomonadati; Pseudomonadota; Alphaproteobacteria. The record is from RNAcentral.